This 431-nucleotide ribosomal RNA is filed under the name uncultured bacterium. RNAcentral describes it as "partial 16S ribosomal RNA". It matches the Rfam family "Bacterial small subunit ribosomal RNA", at positions 29 to 507 of the family's 1533-position model. The record is from RNAcentral.
AACGAACGCUGGCGGCAGGCUUAACACAUGCAAGUCGAACGCCCCGCAAGGGGAGUGGCAGACGGGUGAGUAACGCGUGGGAACAUACCCUUUUCUACGGAAUAGCUCUGGGAAACUGGAAUUAAUACCGUAUACGCCCUACGGGGGAAAGAUUUAUCGGGGAAGGAUUGGCCCGCGUUGGAUUAGCUAGUUGGUGGGGUAAAGGCCUACCAAGGCGACGAUCCAUAGCUGGUCUGAGAGGAUGAUCAGCCACAUUGGGACUGAGACACGGCCCAAACUCCUACGGGAGGCAGCAGUGGGGAAUAUUGGACAAUGGGCGCAAGCCUGAUCCAGCCAUGCCGCGUGAGUGAUGAAGGCCUUAGGGUUGUAAAGCUCUUUCACCGAUGAAGAUAAUGACGGUAGUCGGAGAAGAAGCCCCGGCCAACUUCGUG